UACAGAGGUCCCAAGCGUUGUUCGGAUUCACUGGGCGUAAAGGGUGCGUAGGCGGUCGGGUAAGUCUGAUGUGAAAUCUCACAGCUUAACUGUGAAACUGCAUUGGAUACUAUCCGGCUCGAGGAAUGGAGGGGAGACUGGAAUACUUGGAGUAGCAGUGAAAUGCGUAGAUAUCAAGUGGAACACCAGUGGCGAAGGCGAGUCUCUGGACAUUUCCUGACGCUGAGGCACGAAAGCCAGGGGAGCAAACGGG
RNAcentral lists this ribosomal RNA (253 nucleotides) under uncultured bacterium. Its description in RNAcentral is "partial 16S ribosomal RNA". It matches the Rfam family "Bacterial small subunit ribosomal RNA", at positions 524 to 776 of the family's 1533-position model. The record is from RNAcentral.